UACAGAGGUCCCAAGCGUUACUGAGAAUCACUGGGUUUAAAGGGUGCGUAGGUGGUCCGUUAAGUCAGUUGUGAAAUCCCCGGGCUCAACCCGGGAAAUGCUUCUGAUACUGGCGGACUUGAGGCCAGUAGGGGUCACUAGAACUGACGGUGGAGCGGUGAAAUGCGUAGAUAUCGUCAGGAAUGCCGGUGGUGAAGACGGGUGACUGGGCUGGUUCUGACGCUGAGGCACGAAAGCGUGGGGAGCGAACGGG
RNAcentral lists this ribosomal RNA (253 nucleotides) under uncultured bacterium. RNAcentral describes it as "partial 16S ribosomal RNA". It matches the Rfam family "Bacterial small subunit ribosomal RNA", at positions 524 to 776 of the family's 1533-position model. The record is from RNAcentral.